AGGAAAAAGAAAGGAGAAAAAUUUUGUUGUUCAUCCUUUCUCAUUUUGUUACAAUUGCCAUGACUUGAGAAGAAGAAAAAAAAAGUGUCCAUUCUCUCAUUUUUCUUUGCAUGGCCGAAUGUACUAAGAAGAAAGGGGGGGGAGCUUGAGAAAAUCAGCCAUGGGAGCUUACUAGACUAAGGUGUUUUGAUACAAGAAGCUCAAGAAGCUAGAGGGGGAGAAUCAAGCAAAAGCAAAGGAAAGAACAUCGAAUAGCCGAGUUGGAACCAUUUUACCCAACACAAGGUCUCUUGGACUCAUAUCGUUUGCGUGCUCGGAACCGUCGUUGAAGUCAUCACACCGGCUGGAAAUCUUUUGGUAUUGUCUUCGUAGUUGAGCUAGGAGAACAUUUGGCAUGUAUAGGCUAUUUUGUUUGUUGAAUCUCGGGUUGUAAACUUUAAGCCAUGCGAAGAUGGCCUAUGUGGUCGGUUGAGUGUGAAUCUAAAACCUAUAGGCACGAGCCUUAGAAACCUUAAUUUUGAUAAGGUGGCCAUAGUUUGUAUUAUGUAUGAUGAAAUAGUUGGCCAUGGAAGAAUUAUGAAAUAGUCAUUGUUUGCUUUAGUACCA
Molecule: long non-coding RNA, 606 nt
Organism: Gossypium arboreum
Lineage: Eukaryota; Viridiplantae; Streptophyta; Magnoliopsida; Malvales; Malvaceae
Exons: 3
Source: RefSeq, a predicted model, not a curated record